Small nuclear RNA from Bombyx mandarina (wild silkworm), 163 nucleotides. The record is from RefSeq and is a predicted model, not a curated record. NCBI's taxonomy places the organism in Eukaryota, Metazoa, Arthropoda, Insecta, Lepidoptera, Bombycidae.
AUGCUUACCUGGCGUAGGCGAUACCGUGAUCAUGCAGGCGGUGCCCCCAGGAUGAGGCUGCUCCAUUGCACUGCGGAGUGGUUGACCCUUGCGAUUAUUUAUAUCAAUAUAAAAAUCAUAAUAAAAAAUGUAUAUUAAUAGUUAUUUAAGUUAUUUUCUUUAU